This 435-nucleotide ribosomal RNA is filed under the name uncultured bacterium. Its description in RNAcentral is "bacterial SSU rRNA". It matches the Rfam family "Bacterial small subunit ribosomal RNA", at positions 30 to 465 of the family's 1533-position model. The record is from RNAcentral.
AUUGAACGCUGGCGGCAGGCCUAACACAUGCAAGUCGAGCGGAUGAGUGGAGCUUGCUCCAUGAUUCAGCGGCGGACGGGUGAGUAAUGCCUAGGAAUCUGCCUGGUAGUGGGGGACAACGUUUCGAAAGGAACGCUAAUACCGCAUACGUCCUACGGGAGAAAGCAGGGGACCUUCGGGCCUUGCGCUAUCAGAUGAGCCUAGGUCGGAUUAGCUAGUAGGUGAGGUAAUGGCUCACCUAGGCGACGAUCCGUAACUGGUCUGAGAGGAUGAUCAGUCACACUGGAACUGAGACACGGCCCAGACUCCUACGGGAGGCAGCAGUGGGGAAUUUUGGACAAUGGGCGCAAGCCUGAUCCAGCAAUGCCGCGUGCAGGAUGAAGGCCUUCGGUUGUAAACUGCUUUGUUACGGAACGAAACGGUGAGCUCUAAUAC